Molecule: ribosomal RNA, 273 nt
Filed under: uncultured prokaryote
Description: partial 16S ribosomal RNA
Rfam family: Bacterial small subunit ribosomal RNA
Source: RNAcentral
UACGGAGGAUGCGAGCGUUAUCCGGAUUUAUUGGGUUUAAAGGGUGCGUAGGCGGAAAAAUAAGUCAGUGGUGAAAACCUUCAGCUUAACUGGAGACUUGCCAUUGAUACUGUUAUUCUUGAGUAUAGUUAAGGUAGGCGGAAUGUGUAAUGUAGCGGUGAAAUGCUUAGAUAUUACACAGAACACCAAUUGCGAAGGCAGCUUACUGAGCUAUAACUGACGCUGAUGCACGAAAGCGUGGGGAGCGAACAGGAUUAGAAACCCUAGUAGUCC